GGGGAAUAUUGCACAAUGGGCGAAAGCCUGAUGCAGCAACGCCGCGUGAGUGAUGAAGGCCUUCGGGUUGUAAAGCUCUGUCUUUUGGGACGAUAAUGACGGUACCAAAGGAGGAAGCCACGGCUAACUACGUGCCAGCAGCCGCGGUAAUACGUAGGUGGCAAGCGUUGUCCGGAUUUACUGGGCGUAAAGGAUGCGUAGGCGGAUUUUUAAGUGAGAUGUGAAAUUCCUGGGCUUAACUUGGGAGCUGCAUUUCAAACUGGAAGUCUAGAGUGCGGGAGAGGAAAGUGGAAUUCCUAGUGUAGCGGUGAAAUGCGUAGAGAUUAGGAAGAACACCAGUGGCGAAGGCGACUUUCUGGACCGUAACUGACGCUGAGGCAUGAAAGCGUGGGUAGCAAACAGGAUUAGAUACCCUGGUAGUCCACGCCGUAAACGAUGAGUACUAGGUGUAGGAGGUAUCGACCCCUUCUGUGCCGCAGUUAACACAAUAAGUACUCCGCCUGGGAGUACGAUCGCAA
This 518-nucleotide ribosomal RNA is filed under the name uncultured prokaryote. RNAcentral's name for it is "bacterial SSU rRNA". It matches the Rfam family "Bacterial small subunit ribosomal RNA", at positions 356 to 891 of the family's 1533-position model. The record is from RNAcentral.